Molecule: ribosomal RNA, 1062 nt
Filed under: uncultured bacterium
Lineage: Bacteria
Description: bacterial SSU rRNA
Rfam family: Bacterial small subunit ribosomal RNA
Source: RNAcentral
GAUGAACGCUGGCGGCGUGCCUAACACAUGCAAGUCGAACGAAGCAAUUUAACGGAAGUUUUCGGAUGGAAGUUGAAUUGACUGAGUGGCGGACGGGUGAGUAACGCGUGGGUAACCUGCCUUGUACUGGGGGACAACAGUUAGAAAUGACUGCUAAUACCGCAUAAGCGCACAGGGCCGCAUGGUCCGGUGUGAAAAACUCCGGUGGUGUAAGAUGGACCCGCGUCUGAUUAGGUAGUUGGUGGGGUAACGGCCCACCAAGCCGACGAUCAGUAGCCGACCUGAGAGGGUGACCGGCCACAUUGGGACUGAGACACGGCCCAAACUCCUACGGGAGGCAGCAGUGGGGAAUAUUGGACAAUGGGCGAAAGCCUGAUCCAGCGACGCCGCGUGAGUGAAGAAGUAUUUCGGUAUGUAAAGCUCUAUCAGCAGGGAAGAAAAUGACGGUACCUGACUAAGAAGCCCCGGCUAACUACGUGCCAGCAGCCGCGGUAAUACGUAGGGGGCAAGCGUUAUCCGGAUUUACUGGGUGUAAAGGGAGCGUAGACGGUUUAGCAAGUCUGAAGUGAAAGCCCGGGGCUCAACCCCGGUACUGCUUUGGAAACUGUUAGACUUGAGUGCAGGAGAGGUAAGUGGAAUUCCUAGUGUAGCGGUGAAAUGCGUAGAUAUUAGGAGGAACACCAGUGGCGAANGCGGCUUACUGGACUGUAACUGACGUUGAGGCUCGAAAGCGUGGGGAGCAAACAGGAUUAGAUACCCUGGNUAGUCCACGCCGUAAACGAUGAAUACUAGGUGUCGGGGGGGCAAAGCCCUUCNGUGCCGCCGCAAACGCAAUAAGUAUUCCACCUGGGGAGUACGUUCGCAAGAAUGAAACUCAAAGGNANUNGACGGGGACCCGCACAAGCGGUGGAGCAUGGCGGUUUAAAUUCGAAGCAACGCGAAGAACCUUACCCAAGUCUUGACAUCCCACUGAAAACACUUUAACCGGGUGUCCCUCUUCGGAGCAGUGGAAGAACAGUGGUGCAUGGGUUGUCCGUCAGCUCGUGUCGGUGAAAAUGUUGG